CUCUAGUAACAGCCGUGGAGUCCGGGGCAGAAAAUUGGCAUGGCACUGUAAUUCAG
Molecule: unclassified non-coding RNA, 56 nt
Filed under: Candidatus Scalindua brodae
Lineage: Bacteria; Pseudomonadati; Planctomycetota; Candidatus Brocadiia; Candidatus Brocadiales; Candidatus Scalinduaceae
Description: Non-self RNA target from Candidatus Scalindua brodae (PDB 7Y81, chain C)
Source: RNAcentral